GUAAAGCUCUUUCGCAAGGGAAGGAAACUUAGUCUCUAACAUAGACUGAGGUUGACGGUACCUUGAUAAGAAGCACCGGCUAACUACGUGCCAGCAGCCGCGGUAAUACGUAGGGUGCGAGCGUUAAUCGGAAUUACUGGGCGUAAAGCGUGCGCAGGCGGUUUUGUAAGUCAGAUGUGAAAUCCCCGAGCUCAACUUGGGAACUGCGUUUGAAACUACAAGACUAGAAUAUGUCAGAGGGGGGUAGAAUUCCACGUGUAG
This 261-nucleotide ribosomal RNA is filed under the name uncultured bacterium. RNAcentral's name for it is "partial 16S ribosomal RNA". It matches the Rfam family "Bacterial small subunit ribosomal RNA", at positions 425 to 678 of the family's 1533-position model. The record is from RNAcentral.